This 732-nucleotide ribosomal RNA is filed under the name Taenia saginata (beef tapeworm). RNAcentral describes it as "small subunit ribosomal RNA". Lineage: Eukaryota; Metazoa; Platyhelminthes; Cestoda; Cyclophyllidea; Taeniidae. The record is from RNAcentral.
AUUAGUUGUUUAACUGUGGCAAAAGAAAGUUUGUGUUUCAUUAACUGCAUAAAAUUAGUUUAUUUUUAAGUAUGAUUUAGUGUUAUUUAUUUUAUUUAGCAGUUAGUUUUUUGUUAAAACUAGAGUUUUAAAAGGGUGAAACAUUAGAAGGGGAUAGGACACAGUGCCAGCAUCUGCGGUUAAUCUGUUUUCUUUGUUUUUGUGUAGAUUGUGUGUGUUUAUUUAUCUUUAAAAAUAGGUUAAAUUUUUUUAUUUAAGUUUUAAGUAUUCAUUUUUAUAUAAAAUUUAUAUUUGUGACAGGGAUUAGAUACCCCAUUAACGUAUUUUGUAAUAUUAUCUUAGUUAGUAACUAAAAUGGUUUGGCAGUGAGUGAUUCUUUUUAGGGGAAGGUGUGGUGUAAAGGAUGUUCCGCCUAUUAAUUUACUUUUAUUAUGUUGGUGUAUAUCUGGUUUAAUAUUAUCGUUGAGUGAUGUAUAAGUUUGUGUAGGUUUUAGUUAAGCUAAGUCUAUGUGCUGCUUAUAAAAGUAUACAUGCGUUACAUUGAUAAAGUUUUAGUUGUAAGUGCUAUUAUAUUCAGGACUUAAAAGUAACGUUAAAUUAGUUUGUUAAUGUGAAGUAAGUUUAGCUCAUGUACACACCGCCCGUCACCCUCGAUUUAUAUUGAGGUAAGUCGUAACAAGGUAACUUUAAAUGAAUUUGAAGUUGGUUACUAAGUGGAAUUGCUUAGUUUUA